CUAUACCUGCAGUCGAGCGGACCGACGGGAGCUUGCUCCCUUAGGUCAGCGGCGGACGGGUGAGUAACACGUGGGUAACCUGCCUGUAAGACUGGGAUAACUCCGGGAAACCGGGGCUAAUACCGGAUGCUUGUUUGAACCGCAUGGUUCAAACAUAAAAGGUGGCUUUUCGCUACCACUUACAGAUGGACCCGCGGCGCAUUAGCUAGUUGGUGGGGUAACGGCUCACCAAGGCGACGAUGCGUAGCCGACCUGAGAGGGUGAUCGGCCACACUGGGACUGAGACACGGCCCAGACUCCUACGGGAGGCAGCAGUAGGGAAUCUUCCGCAAUGGACGAAAGUCUGACGGAGCAACGCCGCGUGAGUGAUGAAGGUUUUCGGAUCGUAAAACUCUGUUGUUAGGGAAGAACAAGUACCGUUCGAACAGGGCGGUACCUUGACGGUACCUAACCAGAAAGCCACGGCUAACUACGUGCCAGCAGCCGCGGUAAUACGUAGGUGGCAAGCGUUGUCCGGAAUUAUUGGGCGUAAAGCGCGCGCAGGCGGUUCUUUAAGUCUGAUGUGAAAGCCCCCGGCUCAACCGGGGAGGGUCAUUGGAAACUGGGGAACUUGAGUGCAGAAGAGGAGAGUGGAAUUCCACGUGUAGCGGUGAAAUGCGUAGAGAUGUGGAGGAACACCAGUGGCGAAGGCGACUCUCUGGUCUGUAACUGACGCUGAGGCGCGAAAGCGUGGGGAGCGAACAGGAUUACAUACCCUGGUAGUCCACGCCGUAAACGAUGAGUGCUAAGUGUUAGAAGAGUUUCCGCCCCUUUAUUGCUGCAGCAGACCGCGUUAGUCACUCCGCCUGGGGGAGUAGAGGCGGCAGGAGUUAGGAGUCAGAGGAGAUUAAGGAGGGGGCGCGCAGAGGCGGUGGGGAGCGUGGUGAGUUUAGUUGUGAAAGGAGACG
Molecule: ribosomal RNA, 947 nt
Filed under: Bacillus licheniformis
Lineage: Bacteria; Bacillati; Bacillota; Bacilli; Caryophanales; Bacillaceae
Description: bacterial SSU rRNA
Rfam family: Bacterial small subunit ribosomal RNA (bases 1-846)
Source: RNAcentral